RNAcentral lists this ribosomal RNA (178 nucleotides) under Drymonema larsoni. Its description in RNAcentral is "partial 18S small subunit ribosomal RNA". It matches the Rfam family "Eukaryotic small subunit ribosomal RNA", at positions 1665 to 1831 of the family's 1831-position model. Lineage: Eukaryota; Metazoa; Cnidaria; Scyphozoa; Semaeostomeae; Drymonematidae. The record is from RNAcentral.
CACACCGCCCGUCGCUACUACCGAUUGAAUGGCCUAGCAAGACCUUCGGAUUGGCACCGUCUCGGUUGGAGCAAUCUAGCCAAAACGGAAUAGCCGAGAAGUCGCUCUAGCUCGACCAUUUAGAGGAAGUAAAAGUCGUAACAAGGUUUCCGUAGGUGAACCUGCGGAAGGAUCAUUA